Non-coding RNA from Podarcis lilfordi (Lilford's wall lizard), 120 nucleotides. The record is from the annotation of a GenBank genome assembly. NCBI's taxonomy places the organism in Eukaryota, Metazoa, Chordata, Lepidosauria, Squamata, Lacertidae.
ACCUGCAUCGAAAGUGAUUGUGGCCUGAUCAUUGAUACUGCAGGCAGAGAAUUCCUGAAAGCAUUUCCCGUGUUUGGGGGGCUUCUUUCCAUCCCUUCCAAACCCUGAGCUUUUCAGACA